UUAUGACAAAUAGAAGGACCAUAUUAUAAAACAUAAAUAGUUUUGAAGUUGAGUUUGAAGGUUAAUAAAUCGAAGGCCAAUUUAUUUUACUGUCUAUUUGGGAUCCAAUAUCAAUAUUAAAAAAAAACAUUUUUUUGGAUGAAGCUGAUACAAGAGUGGAUAGAUAUCCGGAUUUUUGAAGAUAUUCGUGACCGUCUGAAUAAUCAAUUAUUCGAUUUGCUUAUGUUUGUAGUCAGCCGGAUAUACGGUGUCCCAGAUAUCCGGAUUCGAUCCG
Molecule: long non-coding RNA, 274 nt
Filed under: Brassica rapa (field mustard)
Lineage: Eukaryota; Viridiplantae; Streptophyta; Magnoliopsida; Brassicales; Brassicaceae
Description: long non-coding RNA (BRAP_LNC007180)
Source: RNAcentral